GAUGAACGCUGGCGGCGUGCCUAAUACAUGCGAGUCGAGCGAACAGACGAGGAGCUUGCUCCUCUGACGUUAGCGGCGGACGGGUGAGUAACACGUGGAUAACCUACCUAUAAGACUGGGAUAACUUCGGGAAACCGGAGCUAAUACCGGAUAAUAUAUUGAACCGCAUGGUUCAAUAGUGAAAGACGGUUUUGCUGUCACUUAUAGAUGGAUCCGCGCCGCAUUAGCUAGUUGGUAAGGUAACGGCUUACCAAGGCAACGAUGCGUAGCCGACCUGAGAGGGUGAUCGGCCACACUGGAACUGAGACACGUUCCAGACUCCUACGGGAGGCAGCAGUAGGGAAUCUUCCGCAAUGGGCGAAAGCCUGACGGAGCAACGCCGCGUGAGUGAUGAAGGUCUUCGGAUCGUAAAACUCUGUUAUUAGGGAAGAACAAAUGUGUAAGUAACUAUGCACGUCUUGACGGUACCUAAUCAGAAAGCCACGGCUAACUACGUG
RNAcentral lists this ribosomal RNA (497 nucleotides) under uncultured bacterium. RNAcentral's name for it is "partial 16S ribosomal RNA". It matches the Rfam family "Bacterial small subunit ribosomal RNA", at positions 28 to 507 of the family's 1533-position model. The record is from RNAcentral.